UACGUAGGGUGCGAGCGUUGUCCGGAAUUAUUGGGCGUAAAGAGCUUGUAGGCGGUUUGUCGCGUCUGCCGUGAAAAUUCGAGGCUCAACCUCGAACUUGCGGUGGGUACGGGCAGACUAGAGUGUGGUAGGGGAGACUGGAAUUCCUGGUGUAGCGGUGAAAUGCGCAGAUAUCAGGAGGAACACCGAUGGCGAAGGCAGGUCUCUGGGCCACUACUGACGCUGAGAAGCGAAAGCAUGGGGAGCAAAAGGG
RNAcentral lists this ribosomal RNA (253 nucleotides) under uncultured bacterium. RNAcentral's name for it is "partial 16S ribosomal RNA". It matches the Rfam family "Bacterial small subunit ribosomal RNA", at positions 524 to 776 of the family's 1533-position model. The record is from RNAcentral.